RNAcentral lists this ribosomal RNA (519 nucleotides) under Trioceros sternfeldi. RNAcentral describes it as "partial 16S ribosomal RNA". It matches the Rfam family "Bacterial large subunit ribosomal RNA", at positions 1805 to 2611 of the family's 2925-position model. Lineage: Eukaryota; Metazoa; Chordata; Lepidosauria; Squamata; Chamaeleonidae. The record is from RNAcentral.
UAUCAAAAACAUAGCUUCUAGCACACCAAACAUUAGAAGUAACGCCUGCCCUGUGGAAACCCUAAACGGCCGCGGCACUAAAACCGUGCAAAGGUAGCACAAUCACUUGUCCAUUAAAUGAGGACCCGUAUGAAAGGCAACAUGAGAGAAAACCUGUCUCCUAAGGCCCGCCAAUGAAAUUGUACUACCAGUACAAAAACUGAUAUCUCAAAGCAAGACAAAAAGACCCUGUGGAACUUUUAACAAAUUGUUUAAACACAUAAACAACAGUUUCAGUUGGGACAACUUUAGAAAAAAUAAACUUCUUAAUUUACCAAGACAAACAAGUCUAAGACAACACAGAUCCAGUAAUACUGAUUAACGAAACAAGCUACCCCAGGGAUAACAGCGCCACCUUCUCAAAGAGUCCAUAUCAACAAGAAGAUCUACGACCUCGAUGUUGGAUCAGGGUACCCAGACGGUGCAACAGCUGUCAAUGGUUCGUUUGUUCAACGAUUAAUACCCUACGUGAUCUGAGUU